Molecule: small RNA, 202 nt
Filed under: [Bacillus] enclensis
Lineage: Bacteria; Bacillati; Bacillota; Bacilli; Caryophanales; Bacillaceae
Description: Bacillus enclensis c-di-AMP sequence
Rfam family: c-di-AMP riboswitch aptamer (ydaO/yuaA leader)
About the family: This family represents a conserved RNA structure found upstream of the ydaO and yuaA genes in Bacillus subtilis and related genes in other bacteria.
Source: RNAcentral
UAUUCUUUAUCGCUUAAUUCAAUUUGAAGCGGGGGACCCGAGUCACAGGGGUGAAUCCACAUCGCUGCAAGGUUCUUGAUCUGAAAGGCAUAGGCCGGUGCGCCCAUGCUGAAAGGGGAAUCCUUGUUUGCGGCUUGAGGUAGGGCUACUUCCAUCGCCCGAAUCCGUCAGCUAACCUCGUAAGCGUAAUGGGAGAGGAUGA